GCAUCAGUGGUCUGAUGGUUAUGAUCCGGUCUUCCCAAAGUUUGAAUGGCCGGGAAAGGGGUUCGACUCCCCUCUGAUGCA
Non-coding RNA from Gymnopus androsaceus JB14, 81 nucleotides. Lineage: Eukaryota; Fungi; Basidiomycota; Agaricomycetes; Agaricales; Omphalotaceae. The record is from the annotation of a GenBank genome assembly.